RNAcentral lists this ribosomal RNA (254 nucleotides) under uncultured bacterium. RNAcentral describes it as "partial 16S ribosomal RNA". It matches the Rfam family "Bacterial small subunit ribosomal RNA", at positions 524 to 776 of the family's 1533-position model. The record is from RNAcentral.
UACGAAGGACCCGAGCGUUAUCCGGAUUCAUUGGGUUUAAAGGGUGCGUAGGCGGUCGUGACAAGUCACUUGUGAAAUCUCCGGGCUUAACUCGGAACGGUCAAGUGAUACUGUCGGACUAGAGUACAGAAGGGGCAACUGGAAUUCUCGGUGUAGCGGUGAAAUGCGUAGAUAUCGAGAGGAACACCUGCGGCGAAGGCGGGUUGCUGGGCUGAUACUGACGCUGAGGCGCGAAAGCCAGGGGAGCGAACGGG